GGGUCCAUAGCUCAGUGGUAGAGCAUUUGACUGCAGAUCAAGA
This 43-nucleotide transfer RNA is filed under the name Lupinus angustifolius (narrow-leaved blue lupine). It matches the Rfam family "tRNA", at positions 1 to 43 of the family's 71-position model. Rfam says of the family: Transfer RNA (tRNA) molecules are approximately 80 nucleotides in length. Their secondary structure includes four short double-helical elements and three loops (D, anti-codon, and T loops). RNAcentral also lists the same sequence under 1 other name. Lineage: Eukaryota; Viridiplantae; Streptophyta; Magnoliopsida; Fabales; Fabaceae. The record is from Rfam by way of RNAcentral.